GUUUUUAUAGCUUAUAUUAGAGUAUUUCAGUGAAGUUGAAAGGGAAACUUAUGUUUGAAGACA
Molecule: transfer RNA, 63 nt
Filed under: Orosius orientalis
Lineage: Eukaryota; Metazoa; Arthropoda; Insecta; Hemiptera; Cicadellidae
Description: tRNA-Phe
Source: RNAcentral